Molecule: ribosomal RNA, 461 nt
Filed under: uncultured bacterium
Lineage: Bacteria
Description: bacterial SSU rRNA
Rfam family: Bacterial small subunit ribosomal RNA
Source: RNAcentral
UACGGAAGGCAGCAGUGGGGAAUAUUGCACAAUGGGCGAAAGCCUGAUGCAGCUAUGCCGCGUGUAUGAAGAAGGCCUUAGGGUUGUAAAGUACUUUCAGCAGGGAGGAAAGAAAUAAAACUAAUAAUUUUAUUUUGUGACGUUACCUGAAGAAGAAGCACCGGCUAACUCCGUGCCAGCAGCCGCGGUAAUACGGAGGGUGCAAGCGUUAAUCAGAAUUACUGGGCGUAAAGGGCACGCAGGCGGUUAAUUAAGUUGGAUGUGAAAUCCCCGGGCUUAACCUGGGAAUGGCAUUCAAGACUGGUUAGCUAGAGUCUUGUAGAGGGGGUAGAAUUCCAUGUGUAGCGGUGAAAUGCGUAGAGAUGUGGAGGAAUACCGGGUGGCGAAGGGCGGGCCCCUGGGACAAAGGACUGACGCUCAUGUGCGAAAGCGUGGGGAGCAAACAGGGAUUAGAUACCCGU